Molecule: ribosomal RNA, 499 nt
Filed under: uncultured bacterium
Lineage: Bacteria
Description: partial 16S ribosomal RNA
Rfam family: Bacterial small subunit ribosomal RNA
Source: RNAcentral
UGGGGAAUAUUGGACAAUGGGGGCAACCCUGAUCCAGCAAUGCCGCGUGUGUGAAGAAGGUCUUCGGAUUGUAAAGCACUUUCGACGGGGACGAUGAUGACGGUACCCGUAGAAGAAGCCCCGGCUAACUUCGUGCCAGCAGCCGCGGUAAUACGAAGGGGGCUAGCGUUGCUCGGAAUGACUGGGCGUAAAGGGCGUGUAGGCGGUUUACACAGUCAGAUGUGAAAUCCCCGGGCUUAACCUGGGAGCUGCAUUUGAUACGUGUAGACUAGAGUGUGAGAGAGGGUUGUGGAAUUCCCAGUGUAGAGGUGAAAUUCGUAGAUAUUGGGAAGAACACCGGUGGCGAAGGCGGCAACCUGGCUCAUGACUGACGCUGAGGCGCGAAAGCGUGGGGAGCAAACAGGUUAGGAUACCCUGGUAGUCCACGCUGUAAACGAUGUGUGCUAGAUGUUGGGUAACUUUGUUAUUCAGUGUCGCAGUUAACGCGUUAAGCACACCG